GAAAAAGUUACCUAGAUUUAUUUUUGAAGGCUUGAUUAAAAAAGAGCAUACCUAGCACUAGGCCACUAGGCUCUUGUCACAAGAUAUAGGGGGAUUGGCCAUUAGGCACUUGAAAAUGCGGGAUAUGAGGAGAUCAACAGACACAGCCUUAAAACUAAUAUAGAGAUGCUGUUUCCGCAACUUGAACCUAAUCUCCUAGGAGCAACCUUUCCAUAGUACCAAGGCCCGCCCUUGGUACUAUUUUUGAAGACUUGAUAUGUUGGCCAAAUCAAUUUAAUAAUAUUACUGUUCCAUUAAAUUAUUUUAAUGAGCCACUUUCUUCAACGAAAUUGAGAGUUUGGUUAGUGGUAAAGGACUGAAAUUGUACACUAGUAUGUUGGAUUAUCAGAUAGAAUCAGAUAAUUCCAAUCUAAGACUCUUUUGAACCAAUCCUAAUUUUAUUUUUCGGCAAAACUACAUAAAAUGCCUUAUCUAGGAAACUAGUGUCAAGUCUAAGGGUCAAAUCAGGUCAGCUAUUCAU
Molecule: long non-coding RNA, 520 nt
Filed under: Musa acuminata (dwarf banana)
Lineage: Eukaryota; Viridiplantae; Streptophyta; Magnoliopsida; Zingiberales; Musaceae
Description: long non-coding RNA (MACU_LNC004920)
Source: RNAcentral